This 496-nucleotide ribosomal RNA is filed under the name uncultured bacterium. RNAcentral describes it as "partial 16S ribosomal RNA". It matches the Rfam family "Bacterial small subunit ribosomal RNA", at positions 28 to 506 of the family's 1533-position model. The record is from RNAcentral.
GAUGAACGCUGGCGGCGUGCCUAAUACAUGCAAGUCGAGCGAACGGACGAGAAGCUUGCUUCUCUGAUGUUAGCGGCGGACGGGUGAGUAACACGUGGAUAACCUACCUAUAAGACUGGGAUAACUUCGGGAAACCGGAGCUAAUACCGGAUAAUAUUUUGAACCGCAUGGUUCAAAAGUGAAAGACGGUCUUGCUGUCACUUAUAGAUGGAUCCGCGCUGCAUUAGCUAGUUGGUAAGGUAACGGCUUACCAGGGCAACGAUGCAUAGCCGACCUGAGAGGGGGAUCGGCCACCCAGAAACGGAGACAGGGACCAGACACCAACGUGAGGCAGGAAGAGGGAAGGUACCGCAAUGGGUGAGAGCCUGACGGAGCAACGCCGGGUGAGUGAAGAAGGUCUGCGGUCUGGAAAGCUAUGUUAUUAGGGAAGAACAUAUGGGGAAGUAACUGUGCACUUCUGGAGGUAACCUAAGAAUAAAGCCACGCUUAACUACGG